CCUACGGGGUGCACCAGUUGCGAAAACUUGUCAAUGCACGAAAGUGUGAACGGGCUACCCCGAGUGCCGUCCGCUGAGGAUGGCUUUUCUCUGCUGUAAGAAGGCGGAGGAAUAAGGCGAGGGCAAGUCUGGUGUCAGCCGCCGCGGUAAA
This 151-nucleotide ribosomal RNA is filed under the name uncultured archaeon. Its description in RNAcentral is "partial 16S ribosomal RNA". It matches the Rfam family "Archaeal small subunit ribosomal RNA", at positions 322 to 474 of the family's 1478-position model. The record is from RNAcentral.